This 443-nucleotide long non-coding RNA is filed under the name Helianthus annuus (common sunflower). Lineage: Eukaryota; Viridiplantae; Streptophyta; Magnoliopsida; Asterales; Asteraceae. The record is from RNAcentral.
AUGUUCUUGAGUUUCAUUCACACAUUUCUUCUUCAACUCUUCAAAAUGCUCUUGGAUCUUGCUUCUAGACUUGAAGCCUCUAUUUCUGAGGAAAACGACAGAAGCUGAGAAAGAACAAUCAUUCAGAAAGCAGACAAAUCAGGAAUUCCUUGCCAAGAAGCAAGAAGAGUUGAAGAAGAAUGAUGUUCCAAAGAAGAUUGAAAAGAGAACCUGUUUUCAGUGUAAAACUGUUGGUCAUGUUGCGAAAUAUUGUCCGAAGACAUUCAAACCAAAAUAGGAAGUCUCUGGUAAACUAAAAGAGAAAGUCGUCGAGAAAACUGAACUAUCAACCCGAAAGUUUACUGGCUUUGAAAAUUCAACUUUUGAAAAAGGAGAAUGUAUAAAGAGUGUUUUAAAAAGAAAGGAAAAUGUAAAAAAUAAAAAAUGGGUUGUGAAAGGUUCAG